Molecule: transfer RNA, 73 nt
Filed under: Planctomycetia bacterium
Lineage: Bacteria; Pseudomonadati; Planctomycetota; Planctomycetia
Description: tRNA-Arg
Rfam family: tRNA
About the family: Transfer RNA (tRNA) molecules are approximately 80 nucleotides in length. Their secondary structure includes four short double-helical elements and three loops (D, anti-codon, and T loops).
Source: RNAcentral
GCGCCAGUAGCGUAAUGGAUAGCGCAUCGGUCUUCGGAACCGAGUGUUGGGGGUUCGAGUCCCUCCUGGCGUG